GACGAACGCUGGCGGCGUGCUUAACACAUGCAAGUCGAACGGAAAGGCCCUGCCUUUGUGGGGUGCUCGAGUGGCGAACGGGUGAGUAACACGUGAGUUACCUGCCCUUGACUUUGGGAUAACUUCAGGCAACUGGGGCUAAUACCGGAUAGGAGCUCCUGCUGCAUGGUGGGGGUUGGAAAGUUUCGGCGGUUGGGGAUGGACUCGCGGCUUAUCAGCUUGAUGGUGGGGUAGUGGCUUACCAAGGCUAUGACGGGUAGCCGGCCUGAGAGGGUGACCGGCCACGCUGGGACUGGGCUGCGACACAGACUCCUACGGGAGGCAGGGGAGGAGAAGAGUGCACUGUGGGCUGGGGCCUGACGUAGCAACGCCGCGUGCGGGAAGACGGCCUGCGGUUUGUGAUCCGAUGUCGCCUGUGACGAAGCGAGAGUGACGGUAAUGGGUAAAGAAGCUCCGGCUAACUACGUG
RNAcentral lists this ribosomal RNA (468 nucleotides) under uncultured bacterium. Its description in RNAcentral is "partial 16S ribosomal RNA". It matches the Rfam family "Bacterial small subunit ribosomal RNA", at positions 28 to 507 of the family's 1533-position model. The record is from RNAcentral.